Zalophus californianus (California sea lion) is the source of this 104-nucleotide small nuclear RNA. The record is from Ensembl. Lineage: Eukaryota; Metazoa; Chordata; Mammalia; Carnivora; Otariidae.
AUGCUCACUUGGGAAGCACAUACACUAAAAUCGGAACUAUACAGAGAUUAACAUGGCCCCUGCAUAAGGAUGACAUGCAAACCAAUGUAUCUCAUUACGAAAUU